CUAGCCCCUACUGCAACAGUGCUUCUUAACAAGGAAAAACAGGAAUUUGACUAACAGAGAAGCGCCAAAAGAAGAGAAUUGAAGAACUGGAACGAGAGAGAUUUUCUCCAUGGACAGUUGUCAUCCCUUGCAGUGCAACCGAAAGAAGUCUAAAAAGAAGCACCUCAAGGGAGCCAAGAAAUCUAAGAAAGAGCGCAAAAAGUUUCGGCAGCAUGUACAAACACCAAGUGAGAUUGAACAGCGGUACAAAUCCAUUGCCAAAACAUUGCCAAAAGUGAAGACUAUGACCAGGGCAUUGACAGGAACACCAUGGUGUCCACCUCACCAAUGGAGAGCUAGCUAUUGCAGAUCCCAAGGCAUAUCAGGAGCUAC
Long non-coding RNA from Siniperca chuatsi (mandarin fish), 372 nucleotides. RefSeq lists it as uncharacterized. The record is from RefSeq and is a predicted model, not a curated record. Lineage: Eukaryota; Metazoa; Chordata; Actinopteri; Centrarchiformes; Sinipercidae. The transcript is spliced from 3 exons.